This is a long non-coding RNA of Gallus gallus (chicken), 12140 nucleotides long. RefSeq lists it as uncharacterized. Lineage: Eukaryota; Metazoa; Chordata; Aves; Galliformes; Phasianidae. The transcript is spliced from 6 exons. The record is from RefSeq and is a predicted model, not a curated record.
GGUUGCCACCAGUGAAUACUACAGCCAUUAGUGCUGCACAGGAGUGUGGACACACUGCAUCAGCCCUCAUCCUGGCUGGCAGUGAUAGUGGUGGUGGCUGACAGGUGCUGCCCGCUUUCGCUGAUGGUGUUGCUCAGCCAUUGGGCUGGUGUGUUAGCUGGAAGGAGGAACGACUGCAGCUGUGCCUGGGAGGACAGCUGUCCCUUCUGCCACUGUGAAGCGGCUCUGGGGUGUAAAUGGAUCUGCUGACUGUGGAUGGAGGGUUGCUGUUUCAGGAGCAACUGCAAAUUCAGACACAUGAGAAUUGAUAAGCUGACACAAGCGGCCUUCCUCUGAAGAGCGGCCUUGCAGAAAGUCUGGGGAACCAGACAGAGGUUGAGAAGGCACCAAAGAGAGAUGGAUGCAAGGUGGCUGUGAGGCCUAUUGAUUCGAAAACCACCUUCCCCACAAAGCAGAGACGGAAAAGAAAAGCAGCAGAGAUUCAUCCAUCUGCUGCUAAGGACACAGAUGAGCCCCCAGCUAGAAAACUACCUAUGGUGAUUCUUGCUUCAGUCCCACCUGAAUACACCUUGGUCAGCACUGAAGUCAUAAAACUUCCAAGCAGUCUGGAACUGCUUCCAGGAACACAGGCAUACUCUGUGGCACAGUCAGAGGUCUCAAACUCAACAGCCCAUUCCUCACAAGAAGCAGAUAAGACGCAGCAGCUGAGCUGCACAGAGGCGGGGAAAGCACUCGUCUCUGAAGAUGAUGACCUUCAGAAGUUAUUGAUGGAAAUCACAGGAGAACUGGAAGGAGAAAAUGAUGUGGACGCUGAAAAGGGUGUGGAUGAGCUCCUUCUGGAACUGUCUGAGAUCACUGACAGCGUGAUACCACAGUCUGAUUGUAAUUUUUAAGACAAACAACAGCAACAACCAAUUAAAACCAACCCUGUUCCUUUUCAACCCUGUUCCUUUCCUUAUUCUGAGGGGACACUUUUUCUGAAACUUUGCAAUGAGUCUUAAAGCAGAGUCAAACUGGUAAAAAUCAUUGGUGAAUGGAUUCUGUUCUCCCUGUUCUCCCAAUUUCCCUGUUGGUCAGAGUUCAGGGGCUGUGUGAGCUGCCAUUCCCCAACAACAUCAAGAGAAGCCAGGGCAAAGUCCUCUCACUCAAGUCAGCCUCAGUUAUCGUCUUUCAAACACCAUGAUAAAACAUUCAGGAACAACAAGAACAACAAGAAUAACAAAAAAAUCAUCAGUAUUUCAUGAGAGGAUUAAAUAGACAAAAUAUUUAACUUAAAUUUAAGAUGUAAAUAAUGAGGAUAUUUAGCAGUAGCCUCAGUAGUAUGUCCGAUGGAAAGCCAGGUGGCUUAAUUACAAUGAUCUACCCAAUUGUCCCCAAUCUGAGCUGCUUUUGCCUUAUUUUCCAUCUUCUUUACCUCUGCAGGCCUAUUUAGCAAUCCUGGCAUUGGUUUUAUACCUGCCAGUUGAACCUUUGAAGUGAUCUUUAUUUCAUAUUCAUAACUGAGGCUCAAUUUCCAAUUUCCUUGUUCCAAAACAUGGACAUGCUUGUCACUGUGAUGGAAACAUUUCUCGAAAUGCCUAGCUUUAUAUCCAGUACUAGUUCAGUCUCUAAAAAAAAAAGAAAAAUCAACCUUUUCUUUAAGGUUUUGAAAAUGAGAGUUGAUCUGUCAUUAGGCUGUGUGGAUUCAGCAUGCAGUUCAAGGCAUUUUGUCACCUUCACUCACAGAAGCCCUAUCUUCUAGUUUCUAGAUUCAGUGUAACUCUUCUCUGUUACACUGGGUUUCAGUCAGGUUGCAUUAUUCUCAGAAGUACAUUCAGUCAGAUCAUCCAUAUCUCUUUUUAUUCAUCCUCUGAAGCUUCUACAAGAUGUAGAGUUAAAAAAAAUACAUAUAUUUUAUUAUUAAAUACAUAUGAAUAGGGGCAGACUGGGAAUUAGGAAAAAUCUCUUUACCAUGAAGGUGGUGAAAUACUGGAACAGGCUUCCUAAAAUGUGGUUGAUGUCCUGUGGUUCUCAGUGUUCAAGAACAAUUUGGUUAAUACCUUCAAGAGUACUUUUAAUUUAAAUUUUUAAUUUAAAUAAUAGUAUUUAAAAUAUUUUUAUUAACUUUUUGUUAUCCCUGAAGAGAUGAGACAGUUGGACUAGAUAAUUUUUGUAAGUCCCUUCCAAACUGACUGCACUGCCCAGCUUGAAAUCAUUGACUUGAAAUUCAGUUGUUGGCCAGUAACACAUGGAAUAUCCUGGCUGUUAAAACUAAAAUCAUUAUUGUUUAAUAUCUUUGUCAGUAAACUAGAUGAUGACAUAGAAUACCUUCUUAGCAAAUUUGCAGAACACUACUAAAUUGAGUGGACCAAUAUUGGAUUAAAGUUUGAGAUGAAAGUAUGACUUACAUCAAGAUAAAAUGUCUUCAAGUUCAAAUGCAGGAAGAAAUUGGAUGUGAAAUUAUAGUUCUCAUUUCAUGCAUUCAAAUAAAUCUUUCAAGUCUAUAGAUUGUGGAAAUAAAAAACAUGUUGAAGUAAAAAGGAAGAAGUUGUCUAAGCAAGUGAUGACCAGUAUAAAGUAAGCUUUAUAUAUGUAUAUAUACGUAUAGCAGUUUGGGUAGAAUUCUAUGGAGGCAGAUAUUUCCCAACCUUAUGUUUUCUUUGUCAAGAUAAUUUAUUUUAACAGUGAAGAAAUUUCAUCAGUUUUUCCUGUCUGGACUUCAAAAUAGAUGUUUUAUCACUACAAGAGAAUUUAAACUGAAGGUGUUGAGGAAGAUAAGGUUUAUUAAAAGAACUGAAACUAGGCAAAGAGCUAGCCAAAGGACAGGCAACAGUGGAUUGAGUAAAAGUUUGAAAUAUCAUGCUUGAAAGUUUAUUUAAUCGUGAAUAACUGAUCUUACAAAUGAUUUUGCAUAGUAUUUUCAUUGAUGAUGCAUGCAGAAAAAAAGGUCAUUUUCUAAUGAACAAUGGGUGUCACUAAAAACUAAAAACUAUUGCUGGUACACUAGAAGACUGAUAAUACCAUACUGUAAAAAUAUCAUACUAAUUAUUAAUGCUGUAUAUAAUCCUGUUGCCCCAAGUUUAGGAAAUAUUGAUUCAAGUAGGGUUUUAUAGAGAGAGCAGUACUGAAAUCAAACUGAUGGAAGAAAUUUUCACAGUAGAUAUGGUAAAAUGAACUUCCUGCUUCUUUCUUAUGAAUAGAUCAAGACUGGUAGUGGUGGGGAAAAAAAAAAAGAAAGAAAGAGAUUUUGUUAAAGUAAAGACCAAGAUGAACUAUAAACAGCUAUAACCUGACAAAGCCCAGAUUAAAUUCCAGGUAUUCAGAGGAAAGAUUACAGCCAUAGAAAGAAUGAGAAUCAUCCAAGGAACUUUCAAAAAAGAAAUGUAUGAAUUUCAAUGAGAAUUGUUUUCAUAUUUUUAAUUUACUUUCCACCAAAUCUCAAAGCAAAAUGUAAGGUAUUUGUCUGCCUACAGACACCCAAACUGGAGAGAUUAACUGCUAAAGCAAAUUUCUACCAUCUGCUCUAACAAUAUACAAGUGCAAGGGAGUAGGAAAAUGGAUAGGGUGUCCUUUCUGCUCUAAGUGAAGCAAAUAUCCUAUUUUUGGUGUGAGAUUAUAUUUACAGCAAAUUCAGACAAUCUGGAUGUUGAGCUCUGGGCAGAGAACUGUCUGGGGAUUCAGUUUAUUGGUAAAAGUAAGGAGGAAUUUAAGAAGAUUUCUGUAGCAGUUGAGACCCCCCAAAUACUGGGGAUUUGUCAAUUGUAUAUGUUUGUUUUUGAUAGAAGAGGCUCAUUUUUCAAAUUAUUGUUUGAACUAAAUAUCCUGAACUUAUCUGAGGAUAAAAAAUUGUCAGAUGUAGGAAAAUAGAAGAAAUUUUACUUAUUAGGAAAAUACCAGUAGGGAGAGAACUGGAUUACUUCAGCAGCAAUUACAAAUAUGUAUAUUCCUUGUUCUAUUUAAUUCACCCCAGAGACUAAGUUUACUGCUUCUGAGGUAAAUUCUCUGACUUGUAAAAUAGUCUGUUGACUGUUGUAAGAUUAUGGACCUCUGAAUAUCUUUCAGGGAUAUAUUUCAUUUUGUAUAAAUAAUUCAAAAAUCCAGAAAACCAGAGGUUUGGACUGAAAUUCCCAAAUCCAAAACGUGGUAUGAAUUCAAUCUUCAAGGUCUUGCUCUAAUAUUUUUUCAUAUUUGUCAGAUACUAGGUUUAUCCUGAAAGAGUGCAGGAAAACGUUUAUUUCUCAAAACAUUUAUGUGGUGAAAAAUGUAUUUUCUGCUCAUUUCUUAAGGAAGAUCCAAUAAACAUCUCAAGCAAUGAAUCAUAAAACACAAAGAUCUCAGUUCUUAAUUCCACAUAGGCCUAUUUCAUUUCAAACAUUUGCUAUCGACCUUGUAAGACACCUGGUGUGCUGAAGUUUCAUUGAUAACUUUUGAUAUUUCAUUUUUAUGGAGGAGAUUAUGAACAGUUUUUCCUUUCAGUGAGAAUUCAUUGGGAUGAAAAAAUUGAGCAGGGGAUAGGUGUUCACAUAUCCCAAGGUUAGAUACAUAACCUUGCUGACCGGUUUUCCUACGGUCUCCAUACACUCAAUGCAGAAAAACAGAUUUUGAUCUUUGCAAGUUUAUUCAGAGUAGGACGUUGGCAUUUCAGAGGAGAAUCCUUCUAUAUUGCUACUGAUUAUCCUGCAGCAUGUACAUUCCCACUGUCAUAUUACAGUUUUGAGAAAUCAGUGUUUUCUAUCAACAUCAGUUUGUUGAAAAAUUCCCAGUCAGUGCCAGUUGGCAUGUGUUUACAGAUAGCGAGUCAGCCACACAUGCUGUCCGCUGGCACUCUGGGCUGUUGCUCAGACAGACUCUAUGAUCUGAUGAGUGUUUGGCAGGUUGGUUGUAGUGAAGUGGCAAAGAGAUAUUUCUGUCAUCUGCUUCUCCAUCUCCCAUGGCGGUCUCAUGGAAGUUACAAGGUCUCUACACAGAGCAGCAACUCUGAGACUGCAAAUGGAUGUUGAAAGAACCUGAUAAAAAAUAGCUUUUAUAAUAGAAUGUGGCUGGAGAGAUUGAGCACUGUUAAGCUCCUGGUUAGCACAAUAUAAAAAUACUUAUUUUAGGGGAAUAAGCAAAACAAAUGUAAAAAUAAUUACUAUAAAUGUUUUCUUUGACAUCUUGCAGUCUGGUGGCCUGUAGAAAUUUUUGUCAAGAGAAUUUUUUUUUUGAGAACAAGAAAUAUUGAUUUAUCUAAACUUUGCAUUCCUCUUCUGCUUGAGUUACUUGCUAUACUUGAUUUAAAUUUAUGAAUAAUUACCCACUGCAUAACAUACUCUCCCUCUCAAAUGACACUUCUGGUCAGCUGUAACCAAACUAAAGUAGAAACCUCAGUAAAGAUGAAAAAAGGAUUAAAUUCCGCCAUACCCUAGUCUGUCAGUACCAUAUGGAUCCAGUGUUUGGUUCAGUGUGCAGCUGAUUCAGGGCCUUCUACUUCUCAGGAUGCCACUCUGAGUUGCAAGAACAUUUCACACCACAAUACAAGUCUCUGUUUAUUCAGCUUACUUACCAAGGCCAUAGUUCCACUUAAAUAGCCACUGCUUUCCUCUUUUGUACGAUCACAUAUUCCACCUUAGCAUUAGCUCUACAUAUGGUGGCCUGAAUUGUAUUUUUCUUUGCAGAAAACUUGAUAUGAGCUUGACUGCUACAUUCUCAACCUUAAUCACUUACUAGAGUUUGUGCUGCUUUCCCUCAGUUUGUUUAAUGUCUUUCACAGAAUUUUCAGUGUCUCCAAAUUCUUCUUUUAUAUUUUCUCUGAUGUUUUCAUAAGGAUAUCUUAUUUAUCAGAAUUCCAAAUCUAACUCAUCAAACUUAGGAUUUCCAUUUUCUUCCUAGCUUUCCUUACCAAUUUGUAGGGCUUUCUUCUACAGCACUUCUAGAGGAUGCUUUUCCUCUCACUCUUUUCUUCCCUACCCUAUUACACUUCAUUAAAACUGUAUUAGGUCUGACCCUAGGUUUGACUAACACUGCUGCUCUUUCAUGAAAAGCAAUGCUUAAAUUUUCAUUCAUAUUCUUUUCUGUAAUAGAGGAAUUGGCUGACACCUUCUCUGGCAUGUAAUUCUUAUAUUUGCAGUUGCUAAACAUAGAAUCAUAGAAUAAAUUAGGGUUGAGUAGUUAUCUGGAGGACAUCUGGUUCAAACUCUAAACACUGAGUUUUUUUCAUUGGUAACAGUAGGACUUAUUCCUGUUCACUCUGGGUUCUAUGACUUCGAUUAUGCAUAAAAGGGCAAUUAAAGCUAUUUUCCAAAUGUCAUGCAAUAUACUUUAUAUUCUUUGAUGAUAAAUGCAAUCAACCUGAAGGAAUUAAGCAUUUUGGAUGUACUAAGCUGUUUGAUCUUGUUAAAAGGAGUGAUUAUAGGAAGAUUUAUCACAGUUAGGAGCCAAGUACUCUCACAGAGUAUUAAAGACAGACUAUUAUAACAGAGUUCUUCAAAUGAGGGCAAGUAUGAGCUGUAUCAUUGAAAAACCACUCUUAGUUGAGCUUAUUUUUAUAAUCUGGAAUGGACUUUCUUUGAGAGGAUCAACUGCCAAUUCAGUUUGUAAAUUGCCUGUGAGUAAUGUAUGAUGUCUGAUCUGAUUAAUUGAAGGUCAUGCCAAUCACAAAGCUAAUAAAAAAAUAAAAAAAUAUAAAAGCAAUUCUACUUGAAAUAUGAAGUAGCUGCAGUAUGCCUGAUGGUUAUUGUUGAGAAAUUGAUCCUCAUUCUUUUUUGAGCUAAUAUUUUCUUUCUGAAUUAAGGAUAAUCAUACUAGUUAAUAUUUCUUUCCUUAACUAAAUCAAAAAUAUGUAGAGAUUUGUUUGGUCUUUGUCGUACUGCUAUGAGAUAGAGCCAGAUUUUAGGUAUAUGCAAGCAAGAUGGAUGAAAGAGAAAUACAGGCUUAAUCUUAUCUUGUUAAAGUUGAGGAAAUUUUACAUUUGAUUUCACUUAGAACAGGUAGAAUCACUGAAUUACAAUCUGAAUAUAGUCUAAAAUCUUAGUAACACUUAGUACCCCUUUUGAUAUGUGGCAAAUUGCUGGUGCAUCUCAUCUGGGUAACACUUCUAAAAUACAGCAGCAUGAAUUAAAAACUAAGAGAUUUUAUUUUAGUAGAAUAAACAGGACUUAUUAGUAUUAAAAUUCUUUUAUAUUUCAACUGAUAGUUUCCAUUGGUUUGUGUCCUAAAGGGUAGGAUAAAUUCUUAGCCUUGGCAACAUGCAUUCACUGAACUUCUGAGAUAUCUUCCCUCGGUUUUCUGUAACUUUGCUUCAUUUUUCAUGCCCACUGGAGGUGAAGGCUUAUUCUGAUUUUGUAUACGCACUCCUUUGUACAUGCCUCUAGAAUGCAGUAUCAGCUUAUUACUGCUAUUGUAACAAUGAUUUCUUAUGAUUCAGUUAAUAUUAGGACAUCUUGUCCAUCUCAUUGUUAAUGAAGAGUCAUUUCCCCACUACAUUUUCAAUUUAUUUGAACAAUCUACAUUAAAGUAACUCAAAUCGAAGGGGCUUCCACUGUUCACACUGGGAGGUUACUUCAUUAUUCCACAUUGCAUUAUUCCACACUUACGUGAUGUACAUUAAACAAGUCUGCUAUUUCACUACUGCCAUGAAUAUUACUUUGUUCUCAUUUUUAGUUAUUCUUUUUACACAGUAUUCAAACUCCUAAAAAACUCAAGGAAAGUAACUUUUUCUUUUUUGUUUUAAACACUACUAGGAAAAUAUCUCAUCUUUUCAGAAAGAAAACUUGCCCUGAUUCUCCCAGCCUACUGGGACCAAGUUCAGAGUUUGACUGCAAUUCAGCAGAUGUUUCAAAAUACUUUAAACAAAUGUGUGAAUUUCAUCUAACUCCUGCUUUUAGUCUUACAGAGAAUUUAGUGAAAUUUACUUACAUUGAUCCAAUGGCAAAACGUUAAAAAAAUGCUGACAAUCAAAAUGAAUGCUACUGCACAAGAGCAAGUGAUUUGCAAAAUUUAAACCAAAGUACCUGGGAAAAUGCAAAGUGCUUACUCACGUACUACUUUUCUGGAGCAGGCACAUAACAAUAAAGCUGAAUAUUCACCUAUGUUACUGAAGUGUAUUCUCUUAUACCUACUUUUGAAAAAAAGCAGAAGGUAUGGAACCCAUGCAUGUCAUUAGGCUUACAGCAGUGCUGCAGAGCUUACAAGAGGAGAAUUACAGAGAGGAAAGGCUCAGUGCCUCCGUAGAGGUUCUGGUAUGCCUCCAGUGGCCCUCUGUGACCAGAAACUUAGGGACCAAACCACUUGCUUCUUCAGUGGAAUGGGAAGGAGGAAGGGCUGGGGCAAGGGGGGAAUUCAGGGAGUUCUAUGUUUUCAGAGAUUGCGUUUUGCAGAGAUUUUACAUGUCAAGGGGUAGUACUGCUCAAAGGAUGAAGAUAUCUGGCCUACAGUGUUUGAUCAGACUCUAAAUUAAAAUUAAGUGAAAAUCUAGGUUGAUGUUGAAAUGUAUUCCUUGGUGCUACUAAAUUUCUAAUAAGCUGGAUAUAAAAGGUUAUAAAUCAUACAUGUAGUCUUGCUCUGUAAUGGCACAAAACAAAGUUGAACAUAAUUUUUAGUACUCUCUUAAGGAAGAGAUUGUUCUUUGUAAGCUCAGUUAGGUAGUUUGUUAUGCAUGAAUACAUUAUUCUAGCAGACUGGUUCUCACAACCAGGCACAUUCAAUUCAUUCAAUUCUUAGUGUAAAAAAGUCACACGUAAUAUUUGUAGAGAUUUUCAAAGCAACAGACAUGGUAUUUUAAAAUCAUUUUGUAGAGGAUGAAGACUCGUAUCAACAUGGGCUUCAAAAAUGAUGGAAAUGUGAAGUACAUUUCCAUCAUGCCUAAAAGCACCAUGGUAAACUGGGAAAGGGAGACUGCACUACAACUCCUGAGUGACUACAUUUUGCGUCCAAAUAUAUACCACUGAGUCCAGGAAUCCCCAGACAUGGUGUGCUGCUUCUGCCUUGUUUUGCUGUUUCACAGAAGGAGGAAAGUAUCCUGCUGCUUGCUGGUGGCCUUCAGGGAGGUGUUGUUUCUGCACUCCUGCACAUGGCUGUACCAAGUGAUGCAUAACCCAGAAAGUGAGAGUUCUGAAAAGAUGCCCUUUGCAAGGGCCAGUGGGGAAAGAAUGAACAUGUACAGCAUUAGAAGGGGUAAUGUGCAAUCCCACUAGGCUAAGGCGAUACUGUAGGUAAGGGAUUAACCCAGGAAAAAAAAAAAAAGAUAUUAUUCCUUUAAAAAUGAAGAAAGGAAAAGCUAAUUCAAGUAAGUUGGAAAGGACUGCCUUAGCUCUGGAAAGCAUUAGUAGUCAAAAAGUUCAUUGCUGAAAGGUAAGUUCCUUAACUAAAAAUAAGCUGUUCAAUUGAUGAAGCAUGUUUUAAAAUUACAUAAUUUACUUUAUGAAAAUGCUUAGACUUCCUGAUUCUUGAUCCUUCCUAAUGGUUAAGUUGAUCCUUUCAUUCCUCUUUUCAACAUCAAAAGAGACCUCUGCCGCAUAUUAUUAAAUGGGCAGUUACACUGAGAGAAAUAACUCAAUUUAGUGGUUGGGAAUCCUGAAAGAGGGACAGCAUUUCUAAAAACUGCAUUUAAUAGUUUUGUCCUCGUGUUGUUUAGUACGAAAACAGGUGUUUAAAAUUAUGCGCAUAGUUGUUUAGAAAAUAUUGUCUCUUUUUAUCCCUGUUAGCUCGUAUGGAAAUCGCAGGUUAUUUGUUUUUAUGCCUGUUUGUUAUUUGCAAAAGGAGGAAGACAUCUUUAUCAUUAGACUGUAUAGAAUGGUUGCAUCUUGCAAGAGUAGCUAAUUUUGAAGGACACAGAUGUGCUGCUUUGACACAGGCCAACACUGAAGGCUAUUCAGUUGCAGAAGCAGAUAUUUUUCAUCUCUCUGUAAAAUUAGUAUCCAACUCAUUUCUUCCAACAAACAAAUAGAUGGGCAGCUGCACAUCAUGCACAAGGUUAGAAUAAGAAUAGCACCUGCUAAUGCCAGGAGUGGACUUUUCUUUUCAGCAGCUUUCAAUAUCCUAGGUUUAACCAGAGAUGCAUAGCCUUUCCCAGUUCACAGACCAGAAUAAAACUGUUUUAGUGAUGCUGGCACUUACACUGCAGACCAUGCACCAGGAUGCUGUGAGGGAGAUUUUCUCUAGCAGAAAACAGACAGAAAACAGAAAAUUCAUGCUAUGGUCUCCUUUGGUUUCAUUCAGUUUAUUAUUGAUCAUAUUACUCCAUAGCUGCAUUCAUCUCCAUCUUUUCCAGACAUACUGGUUUAUAUUUUAGUGAAUUUAAGCAUUUUUAAUAUUGAAGACUUCUUGUUCCUUCCUAAAUGCUCAUUUUUAUUUGUAUGAAAAACUGAGAAUCAUCUGAAGGACAUGUCCAAGAAAAGCAUUUUUCAGGAUAUUAAGACAUGCUAUUCAGUACAAAAGGGAAAUGUAAUGGGCCUUAAACUGAGAUAAACAGGACAACUUUGGUGUGAACUUAGGGAAAAGCAUGCAAUAGUUCAGUCGUUAAAUAGCUAAGAGCAGAGGAUGGUCUUACUAGAAAUUAUCCUUCUUUUAAAAACAAAUGUCCAUGAAGGAGGUCAGAAAAAAAUAUGUAAUACCAUAUACAUUCCUUUUUAUUGAUAUACUUUUAAGUGUUUCUUGAAUCUGUCAUAUCGGGCUUUAUCUGGUACUGUUUGAAGCUAAUGGAGAUCACCGAAUUGACUUAAGGCCUUAGUUCAGCCUAUAAAUGAUCUAAAUGAUGUGCUAAUUAACUAUGUAUAUUAAUAUCUCUACUUUGCCUCCUCCAGUUGGUGGUCCGAUUAUUUUACUGUAUCUUCUCUUAAUCAUAAACCUCUGGAAGAAGUAAGUAUUUUCUUUGACAAUAGAGCUACCUAGAAAACGUGAGUAAUAAAUGAAAUUUGGAGAAAGGGGGAAAGAGCAUUUCAAAUAUAAGUUUACUGGGGUGGUAUGCAAGCUUGUCAGCAAAAAUAAAAGGUCAAAGUUAUGCUCCAAGAUAUUUUCAAUAACAUAUUUUAUUUCCCCAAAAGAUCUUUAUACACUACUCAUUGGAUUUUGGCCAAGGAUUUUUAAGUGUUUUUAAUAUUGUCAUCUGUUAAUUAUUUAGACUGUAUGCUGUGCUAGACAAGACACAAUCUAGCUAUGUGAGAAAACACAUUCAUUGAUCACUGAGACUCUCUGUAAAACAUAUUACCAUUUAGGAGUAACUGGAGAGUAGAGGGUAGAGGGUUUAUGUUUGGAGAAUCUUGAUACAACUACUAUAACAUUCCUUCUGCCUAAAGUACUCUAAUAUACACUAAUAAUCAAGUUAACUCUCUAAUAUGCAGUCAUUAUACUAUUCUGGUCAAUAUAAACUUAAUUUAUCUUUACGAAAAGAGGUAAUGUCCUUGAGAUGAUCUUGUUGCCAUUCAGAGAGGUUGUUAUCAUACCAUAAUAGCAUUCAAAGAUAUAAAUGGGGAAGGUUGAGAGUAAGCUUUAAGAGCUAGUUUUGAGGCUUGACAGCACUAUGGCACUCUUAUCAGAAUUAGCUAGAUUGCAAAAAUGUGGCUUUCAGUUUAAGAUAACGUUUGUUUUCAAUUCUUUCAGGCUCUUCCUGCUACUGUAUCUUGGAUUAUACAUUAUUUUAUUAAAGAUUAGUGUGAGUUAUGAAGUCCAAUAAUAGCUUGUCGUAAACCAUAUGCCAUAUACAGGGAGCAUAAGCCUCACAUGGUUCCUAAACAUACUGUUUGUUGUUUUAUAGCCUAAUCCAACAGCCUUAGCAGACCCUUAGGAAAUUAGGUCAGUCAAUAUAUGGAAAUAAGACCAUUUAAAUAUGUUUUUUAAAUAUAUCACACAGUGAUUUCCUCUAGGGUUCUGUUCACCUUAAGUCAUAAGCUACAUGAUUAUUAGAACAAUGUAAACUGUGCAUCUAUAAACAAUUUUGGGGUACUUUUCAAAAUAUUGUUCUUUUUUUGACCUGUCAAGCAGCAGAGACAAAUAACAUAAAUGUAACCUUACAGUACCAAAUCCAUUUUUACUGAAGAAGAGCUUCAUAUAUUUCUAAAUGUUUCUCAGUUUCUCAAGUAAAAUUUUAUGAUGUAUCUUUGUUGAUUUAUUAUAUCUGCAUGUUUUUUAUUACUUCUUUCUUGAUCAAGACUUCAUAGAUAUACCAAAGAUGCCAAGAUUUCAGUGCA